Molecule: ribosomal RNA, 376 nt
Filed under: uncultured bacterium
Lineage: Bacteria
Description: bacterial SSU rRNA
Rfam family: Bacterial small subunit ribosomal RNA
Source: RNAcentral
AUACGUAGGGAGCAAGCGUUGUCCGGAUUUACUGGGUGUAAAGGGUGCGUAGGCGGCUUUGCAAGUCAGAUGUGAAAUCUAUGGGCUCAACCCAUAGCCUGCAUUUGAAACUGCAGAGCUUGAGUGAAGUAGAGGCAGGCGGAAUUCCCCGUGUAGCGGUGAAAUGCGUAGAGAUGGGGAGGAACACCAGUGGCGAAGGCGGCCUGCUGGGCUUUAACUGACGCUGAGGCACGAAAGCGUGGGUAGCAAACAGGAUUAGAUACCCUGGUAGUCCACGCUGUAAACGAUGAUUACUAGGUGUGGGGGGUCUGACCCCUUCCGUGCCGGAGUUAACACAAUAAGUAAUCCACCUGGGGAGUACGGCCGCAAGGUUGAA